This is a long non-coding RNA of Nerophis ophidion (straightnose pipefish), 2280 nucleotides long. RefSeq lists it as uncharacterized. NCBI's taxonomy places the organism in Eukaryota, Metazoa, Chordata, Actinopteri, Syngnathiformes, Syngnathidae. The transcript is spliced from 2 exons. The record is from RefSeq and is a predicted model, not a curated record.
UAAACAUUUUUUUUGCAAAGAAUUUAGGGAUUUUACCAUCUACGGUCCGUAAAAUUAUCAAAAGGUUCAGAGAAUCUGGAGAAAUCACUGCACGUAAGCGAUGUACUGCAUUAAAAACCGACAUCAGUGUGUAAAAGAUAUCACCACAUGGGCUCAGAAAUACUUCAGAAAACCACUGUCAGUUACUACAGUUGGUCGCUACAUCUGUAAAUGCAAGUUAAAACUCUACUAUGCAAAGCAAAUGCCAUUUAUCAACAAGACAGAGGAACGCCGCGGGCUUCGCUGGGCCCGAGCUCAUCUAGGAUGGACUGAUGCAAAGUGGAAAAGUGUUCUGUGGUCUGACGAGUCCACAUUUCAAAUUAUAUAUGGAAAUUGUGGACGUGGUGUUCUCCGGAACAAAGAGGAAAAUAACCAUCCGGCGCAAAGUUCAAAAGCCAGCAUGUGUGAUGGUAUGGGGGUGUAUUAGUGCCCAAAGCAUGGGUAACUUACACAUCUGAGAAGGCACCAUUAAUGCUGAAUGGUCCAUACAGGUUUUGGAGCAACAUAUGUUGUCAUCCAAGCAACAUUAUCAUGGACGCCCCUGCUUAUUUCAGCAAAACAAUGCCAAGCCACGUGUUACAACAGCUUGUCUUCGUAGUAAAAGAGUGCGGGUACUUUCCUGGCCCGCCUGCAGUCCAGACAUGUCUCCCAUCGAAAAUGUGUAGCGCAUUAUGAAGCGUAAAACACGACAACUUAAGCUUUACAUCAAGCAAGAAUGGUAAAGAAUUCCACUUUCAAAGCUUCAACAAUUAGUUUCCUCAGUUCCCAAACGUUUAUUGAGUGUUGUUAAAAGAAAAUGUGAUGUAACACAGUGGUGAACAUGCCCUUUCCCAAAUACUUUGGCACGUGUUGCAGCCAUGAAAUUCAAAGUUAAUUAUUAUUUGCAAAAAAAAAAAAGUUUGAGUUUGAACAUCAAAUAUGUUGUCUUUGUAAUGCUUUCAAUUGAAUAUGGGUUGAAAAGGAUUUGCAAAUCAUUGUAUUCAGUUUAUAUUUACAUCUAACACAAUUUCCCAACUUUUAUGGAAACGGGGUUUGUAUAUAUAUUAGUGCUGGGCAAUGAUUAACAUUUUUAAUCGAAGUUAAUCGCACUAUUUCUCUUAUUAAUCGCGAUUAACUGCAUUGUAUACGCAAAGCCCAAUAAUGAAUUCAAAAGUAGUGUGUAGUGCACCUUUAUUGGAAUAUUCUCCCACAUGAACAAAAGCGCCAAAACAUUUGUUGUGCAAACACAAUUUAAAUCAGUCCUUGUUAAACAGUAGCAGUUAAAUAGCAAAUUUUAUGAAAAUCAACUCCAAAAAUGUAAAUACAAACAUUUAAGCUUAUUGCCACUGCCAGGGUAUUUAAGUUAUCCUGUUUGUUAUGGAAAAUAAAUAUAAUCUACAUACAAAUAUCUGAGCCACAAUCAUAACAUCUGAACAGGCAAUUUCUGAGGUAACAGCAGAAACAUUUUUUUUUUUAUCAGGGAUCUUAUGUUUAAAAAACUUAUAUUAUAGGUAGUGGGCUGUUUUAGGGAAUUUUUGAUCAAAUUAUCCGUAGUAGCAAUAUUAAUAAUGUUGUGUUUAUUCUGCGUAGUGGACUUAAAAUAAUUAUGACCAUAUCUGUUUGCUUGGUGCUUUGAUAAACUGAACGCAUAUACAUGGUACUAUAUUGUGAUGUUAUGAGCCAGGGGAAAAAAGAACUACCCUACCCAGCAUGCAACAGGAGUGACGAGCAUGCGCGGUAGCCCGGGAUAGGUUGUGUCGCCAUGACGGCAUCUUGUAUGUUGUGAUAUGCAGGCUCUGAAAGUAAAUGUUAAGAACUCAGCCAACACUCCUUGUCUGCAUUAUUGAUAAAUAGACGGACAACACAUAUACUCCGCUGCUUCACAAAGCACAAUAUGUUAAAUGUUUACUUUUACAGUUUUCUAAUUCUUCCUUUCAGAUUGACAGCAGGACAAAUCGCUGGAAGUAGGUAUGUCUCAAGCUUCUUCCACUUGGUCCACUCCAAAGCGGGCUGCAAAGGGGAAGAAGUGGAAGCAGUUGAAUGACACAUGUUGCAUUUUGUAACUGGCAACAAAGUACCAGGUAAAAAAGAUUGUGAAGCCUGCCUCCAUAAAGAACUAGUAGCUCUACAGGACAGAGAUUGGCUUGCCAUCAAGUACUACAUCCAUAACAGAAUUAUAUUAAAAAAAGGGGAAAAAAAUGUUUUCCCACAUCUUCUGUGGUAGUUUGAGUAUGUUACCAGCAAUUAAAAAAGCAAAAUAAA